UACGUAGGGGGCAAGCGUUGUCCGGAUUUAUUGGGCGUAAAGAGCGUGUAGGCGGUUAGGUAGGUCCGUUGUGAAAACUCGAGGCUCAACCUCGAGACGCCGAUGGAAACCAUCUAACUAGAGUCCGGAAGAGGAGAGUGGAAUUCCUGGUGUAGCGGUGAAAUGCGCAGAUAUCAGGAAGAACACCCGUGACUAAGGCGGCUCUCUAGUACGGUACUGACGCUGAGACGCGAAAGCGUGGGGAGCGAACAGG
This 253-nucleotide ribosomal RNA is filed under the name uncultured bacterium. RNAcentral describes it as "partial 16S ribosomal RNA". It matches the Rfam family "Bacterial small subunit ribosomal RNA", at positions 524 to 776 of the family's 1533-position model. The record is from RNAcentral.